GUAAAUGAAAUGGGACAUUGAGAAGUGGACAAGAAUCACAAAAGAAUUCAUCACUCCCACUGGGCCUUGUGAAAAUGGGAAAACAUCUGAAUAAUGGACUAUUGCUGGGGCUUUGGAACCACACUGACCUGUCUUCUUCCUCGGCCGUAUGCAUAUGAUGGACACCUGGACACGGGUUUACUCCUCAUUGUUUGGAUGGAUUAUUCAACUGCCCCACAGCUCUUUUGCCGUGGAACUGCUUCUCUGUAGACCUGUUGCCAAGAUUCCGCAAAUGAACCCAAGCACCAAGCAAUUGCUGUAGGCCUCUUCCUGAAAUCUUCUCGUUAGUAGUUCCUUGGACUUGUCUAGGAGAGAUGUACAACUAAAAAAGAAACCACAAACAGAAGAGCAGAGAAGUCGUCUUACGGGAAACCCUGAGAAUCUGCAGUUUUGAUUAUAUUCCUGUGAAAUGGCCUUUUUGCAGCGUUGUUAUAUUCUGCAGAGAACGCUACUAAGAUUUAUUCUCUACUUAAAUGGAGAAGGUUUGGCUAUUUUCCUGCAUGGCGUUUUAGAUGGUUGAAUCUUCUUGCUUCUGGAAGUCUUUACAGCUUCUGGAAGUCUUUACAUAACCCUACAAUGCUCUCAACCUCCUCUGAAGAGUCCCUAUCUUUAUGAAUUGCCAAAUAAACUAGUUUGUGCUGACUGAUUCCUUUUUUAGAAUUUGAAUUGCAUUCCUCCUUCUACCUGAAACCUCGGUGUACACACGUGCAUGCGUGCACUCACACACACUAAAGAGAAUAGAAAUUGCACAUUAAGAGGUAUCUUUGUGCUGGUCUGACAAUCACUUUGUUCCUUUUUGUUAUUAAAGAUAAAAAAGGUGGUGUCUAAAGAAAGCUGGGCUCCUCCUUGCUUGAUCCUCAGGACUUCCGCAAGGAUGAAUUAAGUUAUUCCACUUAUUCCAAGGAGAUGUGCUUACAUUUGAAACAUUGUAUCAGUUACUUUGCCACAAUAAAGGUUAGUAAUCACGUGGGUUGGCCAUCCACUUUGUGGCUCUUUCAGUCUUUCCCUCUCCCAUAAACUAGAUUAGUGGGUUAGUCAGCCAACAUCACUAGAAAUAUAAGGAGAUGGAAAUAAUUGUAGGUAUAUUUCUCUCAGCUAUUGUGGCUGGACUAUUUAGGUCAGCUGAGGGAAGACGCUAGAGGUAAAACAAACUAUUUUUAAAAAUACUGGUGUGGGGCCAGGUGCGGUGGCUCACGCUUGCAAUCCCAGCACUUUGGGAGGCCAAGGCAGGCGGAUCACAAGGUCAGGAGAUCGAGACCAUCCUGGCUAACAUGGUGAAACCCCGUCUCUACCAAAAUUACAGAAAAUCAGCCGGGCGUGGUGGUGGGUGCCUGUAGUCCCAGCUUCCUGGGGAGGCUGAGGCAGGAGAAUGGCGUGAACCCGGGAGGCG
Molecule: long non-coding RNA, 1429 nt
Filed under: Homo sapiens (human)
Lineage: Eukaryota; Metazoa; Chordata; Mammalia; Primates; Hominidae
Description: HSALNT0182641
Source: RNAcentral